RNAcentral lists this ribosomal RNA (615 nucleotides) under Triticum aestivum (bread wheat). Its description in RNAcentral is "partial small subunit ribosomal RNA". Lineage: Eukaryota; Viridiplantae; Streptophyta; Magnoliopsida; Poales; Poaceae. The record is from RNAcentral.
AUGCAACUCUGGACCCUGGAGGGAGCGGCCGACGCGCUCGGCGACCAGGUCAUCAUCGACCACCUUGACAGCCGCACUUUCGAGCGGGUUGACACGAAGACGUUUGCCGUGUGGGUGUGGGUGUGGGAGCUACACCACAUCCCCACCAGGCGGAUGCUCUGGAAGCACACGCGAGGCGCGGGGUGGGUGGAGGAGAUGCACGUCUUCUCUCCGCCGAGCCGCACUGUUGCGCCGCCAUCGGCCCUGCUCAGGUGGGAUGUCCUGGUGCACAUCGACCGCAUCGAGGACUGGACCCCUCUGUCCCCGCGGUCCUCUCACUCGGUCCAGAGUGGUCUGCCCUCCUCGGACGACGACGAUCGCCCAUUCUCGCGUCGCCCCUCUGCCGGCGGCUGGACUCACAGGACCUGGGGCAACGAGAUCGCCCCCAGGCGCUGGUGGUGUCCACGAGCUACAGGGGCAUGCCCUCGGAGGACGCCAGGCGCGGCCAGGACAACGAGGACGAUGGCGGUCAGAGGCGAUCCUGGAAGGAUACCCUGCUGGGGCGGGGCCGCGGCAAGGAGCACACCGUGGUCGCGGUCGACCCACCUCUGGAGCACCAACGCAGCCGCACGCUAA